GGAUUGUCUAACUGGAAUACACUCACCCCCUGCUUGAGUGAGGACUGGGUUCAUAAACCUAACUAAUCAAGCGCGUGGAGGGCAAGCAUGGUUUACAAUGCACAAACCUUUAGUUCUGGUUUGCCAGAGUUUGUUGCUGUAUUUCAUAUUUGUGUAUCUCAAAUCACUCAAAUUCAGUUUAGGAGAGGAAUGGACAGUUCUUGAGUGAUCCUGUUGUGUUUCAAUAUUUGAAAAUGGAGACUACUUGUAUUGGUGACGCUUCAAGUAACAAUUUGGUUAUUUGAAUCUCUUCGUACUGCUGCGCUGCUUAGGUGGUUGUCAUUGCGUUCAAAGGACCAUCCUGCGGAGACUGGACAUUUAAGUAAAAAUGUCCACAGAAUGACCUUUAUGACAUUAGCAUGACAUUAUUGGCUGUAGUUCUUUCUCUAAAGUAUGAAAUUUCUCCUAGUUGUAACUUGUUCAACUUCCC
This is a long non-coding RNA of Thrips palmi, 469 nucleotides long. RefSeq lists it as uncharacterized. The record is from RefSeq and is a predicted model, not a curated record. NCBI's taxonomy places the organism in Eukaryota, Metazoa, Arthropoda, Insecta, Thysanoptera, Thripidae. The transcript is spliced from 4 exons.